RNAcentral lists this long non-coding RNA (510 nucleotides) under Vigna radiata. RNAcentral's name for it is "long non-coding RNA (VRAD_LNC001966)". The record is from RNAcentral. Lineage: Eukaryota; Viridiplantae; Streptophyta; Magnoliopsida; Fabales; Fabaceae.
AAAACCCCAAAGUGGGCACAUUAUGAACAGGAUGUCUUCCUGGAUGGUAAAUAAUAAUUUGUUCCAUCAUUCUAAGCAAUUUCAAUUCAUAUUUGUGAUGUUCAUUCAAUGAUAUUUCUCUGCUUUCUAGUUUAGGUGUUUCUUAUUCAAUUGUUCUUCAUUUUAGAUGUUAAUUGUUUUUACAUUUCUUUUCACUUUAGAUUCAAUUCAUGUUAACCUUUCAAUUAACUGCAUCAAUUUUUCCUGUCUAUAGUAGAUUCAUUCUUUCAUUGUUACAUUUCAUAUAGCUCAUGUUAGUUAGCAUUCAAGUUUCUUAAUUUUUACACCUGUGAAUACAUAUUUUUUUUUUUAUUGUUCAGUUUAGAAUUUAGGUUCUGUUUUAAAUAUGAAUAGAUUUUCUGUCUUCAUUACUUUAGUCUAGGUUUUAUUUCUUUAUUUUCUUCUUUCUUUUAUUUUACACAUAUUAUAGUUAGAUUAGUUCCAGUUCUUUAAUUUUCCUUUAGUUUCAUU